This 192-nucleotide unclassified non-coding RNA is filed under the name uncultured fungus. Its description in RNAcentral is "sequence contains ITS1, 5.8S rRNA gene". The record is from RNAcentral. Lineage: Eukaryota; Fungi.
UUAACUAUUAUAUAGUACUCAGACAGUAUAGACAAACAGAGUUUAGGUCCUCUGGCAAGCGCUCGCCGGCCGGAGCCAGCAGCCCGAGGGCAGGCCUGCCAAAGCAACAAAGUGUAAUAAACAAAGGGUGGGAGGUAUACCCCGAAGGGCAACGUCUCUUUAAUGAUCCUUCCGCAGGUUCACCUACGGAAA